Molecule: transfer-messenger RNA, 361 nt
Filed under: Candidatus Omnitrophota
Lineage: Bacteria; Pseudomonadati
Also listed under: 1 other name
Description: PXAH01 sp021735445 Standard tmRNA
Rfam family: transfer-messenger RNA
About the family: Bacterial tmRNA, also known as 10Sa RNA or SsrA, is named for its dual tRNA and mRNA-like properties. Its role is to liberate the mRNA from a stalled ribosome. To accomplish this part of the tmRNA is used as a reading frame that ends in a translation stop signal.
Source: RNAcentral
GGGGGUGAAUGGACUCGACCUAAAAGGUGAUGUGAAAGGGAGCAUGCCGCGGAUGUAAGCUUCCUGCGUUAGUGGCGCUUGCAAAAAAAUAAAGGCAAAACCUUUUACUACAGCUCCUGAAUACGCGUUAAGCUAAACAGGAGAUUCUUAUAUUCCUUGCCUCAGGGGAUAUAAGGGUUCGGUUUGAGGCUAUAGAGUAAGUUUUUGCCUUUUGGGCUUGCUCUUAAAACAUAAAAAGGCUGCUUUCUGGUAAAUCCUGCCUCUUGGAGUUACCAGGGAAAAGAUAAAGAAGAGGCUAAGCAUGUAGGGUCCUUUUGCUGAAAUUUUAGGGACGCGGGUUCGAUUCCCGCCACCUCCACCA